AUCUGGCUCAGGACGAACGCUGGCGGCGUGCCUAAUACAUGCAAGUCGAACGAACUCUGGUAUUGAUUGGUGCUUGCAUCAUGAUUUACAUUUGAGUGAGUGGCGAACUGGUGAGUAACACGUGGGAAACCUGCCCAGAAGCGGGGGAUAACACCUGGAAACAGAUGCUAAUACCGCAUAACAACUUGGACCGCAUGGUCCGAGCUUGAAAGAUGGCUUCGGCUAUCACUUUUGGAUGGUCCCGCGGCGUAUUAGCUAGAUGGUGGGGUAACGGCUCACCAUGGCAAUGAUACGUAGCCGACCUGAGAGGGUAAUCGGCCACAUUGGGACUGAGACACGGCCCAAACUCUACGGGGAGGCAGCAGUAGGGAAUCUUCCACAAUGGACGAAAGUCUGAUGGAGCAAGCGCCGCGUGAGUCAGAAGGUUUCUGU
This 432-nucleotide ribosomal RNA is filed under the name Lactiplantibacillus plantarum. Its description in RNAcentral is "bacterial SSU rRNA". It matches the Rfam family "Bacterial small subunit ribosomal RNA", at positions 17 to 421 of the family's 1533-position model. The record is from RNAcentral. Lineage: Bacteria; Bacillati; Bacillota; Bacilli; Lactobacillales; Lactobacillaceae.